AUGAACGCUGGCGGCGUGCCUAAUACCUGCAAAUCGAGCGAACGGACGAGAAGCUUGCUUCUCUGAUGUUAGCGGCGGACGGGUGAGUAACACGUGGAUAACCUACCUAUAAGACUGGGAUAACUUCGGGAAACCGGAGCUAAUACCGGAUAAUAUUUUGAACCGCAUGGUUCAAAAGUGAAAGACGGUCUUGCUGUCACUUAUAGAUGGAUCCGCGCUGCAUUAGCUAGUUGGUAAGGUAACGGCUUACCAAGGCAACGAUGCAUAGCCGACCUGAGAGGGUGAUCGGCCACACUGGAACUGAGACACGGUCCAGACUCCUACGGGAGGCAGCAGUAGGGAAUCUUCCGCAAUGGGCGAAAGCCUGACGGAGCAACGCCGCGUGAGUGAUGAAGGUCUUCGGAUCGUAAAACUCUGUUAUUAGGGAAGAACAUAUGUGUAAGUAACUGUGCACAUCUUGACGGUACCUAAUCAGAAAGCCACGGCUAACUACGUG
RNAcentral lists this ribosomal RNA (496 nucleotides) under uncultured bacterium. Its description in RNAcentral is "partial 16S ribosomal RNA". It matches the Rfam family "Bacterial small subunit ribosomal RNA", at positions 29 to 507 of the family's 1533-position model. The record is from RNAcentral.